GUUAUCAAUGCACACCGCUGUGAAACUCACUUGAUCAGCCCCAGGCAGCAGGAGAUAUCUCCCAGCCCCAGGGCAGGCAGAGUCUCCAACACAUCCAGAGUUAAAAUCAGCAGCCUCGAUCCACACCCUGAGACUUCCAGCCACCAGCAUCUUAUAAACACACCUCUUGGACUUGCACUGAUGGAUUGCUGGGGGCGUGGGUGCCUCCCACCAGUGGAGACAACAAAGGGUUUUAUUCAUAGGUGUCUGUAAAAGAAAAACAACACACUGAACAUGCAUGUGGUGAGAGCAUCCCCAUCUGCACCAUGCUGCAGAACAAGGUGUUCAGCAAUAGAGAAAAGGGCAGUGUAGAGAUUCCAGCAUCACGAUCAACACAACAGAGACAGAGUCAAUUAUUAAACCCUGGGCAGCCUGCAGGGCUUUCAGCACUGGACAGAGUAGUUGUUAUUCAUGCAAAAGUUCAAGAGAAGAAACAAGGGAUCAUCAAAAACUCAUUUUACCCUUUCUGAUGAUGAUGGGAGGCUUCAAAACAUGCUAGAAGAGCCAAAAGAGCGUUUUGGCCGCUGACUUUUAUUUCACAACAGAUGAAAAAUUUUACUUUAGCCCAGUGGAUUGAGUAACAGACUGUAAGGAGAAAGGGAAGAGAACAAAUGCAAACACACUUUGACUAAAUAGGUACAUACAUGCCCAGUAGAAGCAAGUAUUUCAGGCCAAACCCACUUCCUAUUUUCUUUAAUACUGAGUUUUAGAGAUAAAACACAAUGGCUCAUGAUUUUUAUUGGAGUAGAAGAAGGCAAAUGAUUUUCUUCAUGUCCUCAAAGCCCCUUUGUCUUAAAAGUCUUGAUAAAAAUUAGUCUUUUGAACCCAGGUAAGUUUCCAAGGACUUUAAUCAAGGACUAGCAGCAGAUCAAGAUCAAAACCAGGAAAUACAAUUUUCAUCAAAAGGAAGAGUCUUUCUGCAGACUGAACUGGGCUGAUGGAAGAGGCUGUUCUCUCAGAAG
This is a long non-coding RNA of Parus major (Great Tit), 1001 nucleotides long. RefSeq lists it as uncharacterized. NCBI's taxonomy places the organism in Eukaryota, Metazoa, Chordata, Aves, Passeriformes, Paridae. The transcript has 3 exons. The record is from RefSeq and is a predicted model, not a curated record.